This 268-nucleotide long non-coding RNA is filed under the name Ananas comosus (pineapple). RNAcentral describes it as "long non-coding RNA (ACOM_LNC028791)". Lineage: Eukaryota; Viridiplantae; Streptophyta; Magnoliopsida; Poales; Bromeliaceae. The record is from RNAcentral.
ACCGUUAGCAUUUCCACCGUUAGCAUUUUAUGCUAUCAAAUUUUCCAUCGUUAGAUUUAUUUCUAUGAUUAUUUUUUAUCUAUUAAAUCAUACUAUUCAGCCAAACGCCCACCAACUCUAGGAGAUCACUGUCAUCCUAACCGCAUAAUCCUUUAUCCAACGGCCGAAAAUCUAAUAGCACCAGUAACUCAGUGCUACUAAAAGCAUUCCAACCUAACUCUAUAUAUAUAAAUUAUAAAUUAUAAAAAUAAAUAUUUUUCUUUUUUCC